UACGUAGGGUGCGAGCGUUAAUCGGAAUUACUGGGCGUAAAGCGUGCGCAGGCGGUUCGCCAAGUCAGGUGUGAAAUCCCCGGGCUCAACCUGGGAAUUGCGCUUGAAACUAGCGAGCUUGAGUGUGGCAGAGGGGGGUGGAAUUCCACGUGUAGCAGUGAAAUGCGUAGAGAUGUGGAGGAACACCGAUGGCGAAGGCAGCCCCCUGGGUCAACACUGACGCUCAUGCACGAAAGCGUGGGGAGCAAACAGG
This 253-nucleotide ribosomal RNA is filed under the name uncultured bacterium. RNAcentral describes it as "partial 16S ribosomal RNA". It matches the Rfam family "Bacterial small subunit ribosomal RNA", at positions 524 to 776 of the family's 1533-position model. The record is from RNAcentral. RNAcentral also lists the same sequence under 1 other name.